RNAcentral lists this ribosomal RNA (643 nucleotides) under uncultured fungus. RNAcentral's name for it is "eukaryotic LSU rRNA". It matches the Rfam family "Eukaryotic large subunit ribosomal RNA", at positions 38 to 667 of the family's 3401-position model. The record is from RNAcentral. Lineage: Eukaryota; Fungi.
GCAUAUCAAUAAGCGGAGGAAAAGAAACUAACAAGGAUUCCCCUAGUAACGGCGAGUGAAGCGGGAAGAGCUCAAAUUUGAAAUCUGGUGGCCUCAGGUCAUCCGAGUUGUAAUCUAUAGAAGUGUUUUCCGUGCUGGCUCAUGUACAAGUCCCUUGGAACAGGGCGUCAUAGAGGGUGAGAAUCCCGUCCUUGACAUGAACUACCAGUGCUCUGUGAUACAUUUUCAACGAGUCGAGUUGUUUGGGAAUGCAGCUCAAAAUGGGUGGUAAAUUCCAUCUAAAGCUAAAUAUUGGCGAGAGACCGAUAGCGAACAAGUACCGUGAGGGAAAGAUGAAAAGCACUUUGGAAAGAGAGUUAAACAGUAUGUGAAAUUGUUGAAAGGGAAGCGAUUGAAGUCAGUCGUGCUCUUUGGAUUCAGCCGGUUCUGCCGGUGUACUUCCUUUGAGUGGGGUCAACAUCAGUUUUGAUCGCUGGAUAAAGGCAGGAGGAACGUAGUACCCUCGGGUAAACUUAUAGCCUCUUGUCACAUACAGUGGUUGGGACUGAGGAACGCAGCACGCCUCUAUGGCCGGGAUUCGUCCACGUACGUGCUUAGGAUGUUGACAUAAUGGCUUUAAACGACCCGUCUUGAAACACGGACC